RNA transcript from Macaca mulatta (Rhesus monkey), 2981 nucleotides. It is a transcript of the gene named KH domain containing 4, pre-mRNA splicing factor, with no coding region annotated. NCBI's taxonomy places the organism in Eukaryota, Metazoa, Chordata, Mammalia, Primates, Cercopithecidae. The record is from RefSeq and is marked provisional.
GCGUAAGAGCGUUGGGGGCGGAAGUGACGAGAAGGUGGUAGUCGGGUAGUUGGCGGGUGGUUGAGUAGAACCGGUCGCCAUGUCCGCGGGGAGCGCGACACAUCCUGGAGCUGGCGGGCGACGCAGCAAAUGGGACCAACCAGCUCCAGCCCCACUUCUCUUCCUCCCGCCAGCGGCCCCAGGUGGGGAGGUCACCAGCAGUGGGGGAAGUCCUGGGGGCACCACAGCUGCUCCUUCAGGUGCUUUGGAUGCUGCUGCUGCUGUGGCUGCCAAGAUCAAUGCCAUGCUCAUGGCAAAAGGAAAGCUGAAACCAACACAGAAUGCUUCUGAGAAGCUUCAGGCUCCUGGCAAAGGCCUAACUAGCAAUAAAAGCAAGGAUGACCUGGUGGUAGCUGAAGUAGAAAUUAAUGAUGUGCCUCUCACAUGUAGGAACUUGCUGACUCGAGGACAGACUCAAGAUGAGAUCAGCCGCCUUAGUGGGGCUGCAGUAUCAACUCGAGGGAGGUUCAUGACAACUGAGGAAAAAGCCAAAGUGGGACCAGGGGAUCGUCCAUUAUAUCUUCAUGUUCAGGGCCAGACACGGGAAUUAGUGGACAGAGCUGUAAACCGGAUCAAAGAAAUUAUCACCAAUGGAGUGGUAAAAGCUGCCACAGGAACAAGUCCGACUUUUAAUGGUGCAACAGUAACUGUCUAUCACCAGCCAGCACCUAUCGCUCAGUUGUCUCCAGCUGUUAGCCAGAAGCCUCCCUUCCAGUCAGGGAUGCAUUAUGUUCAAGAUAAAUUAUUUGUGGGUCUAGAACAUGCUGUGCCCACUUUUAACGUCAAGGAGAAAGUGGAAGGUCCAGGCUGCUCCUAUUUGCAGCACAUUCAGAUUGAAACAGGUGCCAAAGUCUUCCUGCGGGGCAAAGGUUCAGGCUGCAUUGAGCCAGCAUCUGGCCGAGAAGCUUUUGAGCCUAUGUAUAUUUACAUCAGUCACCCCAAACCAGAAGGCCUGGCUGCUGCCAAGAAGCUUUGUGAGAAUCUUUUGCAAACAGUUCAUGCUGAAUAUUCUAGAUUUGUGAAUCAGAUUAAUACUGCUGUACCUUUACCAGGCUAUACACAACCCUCUGCUAUAAGUAGUGUCCCUCCUCAACCACCAUAUUAUCCAUCCAAUGGCUAUCAGUCUGGUUACCCUGUUGUUCCCCCUCCUCAGCAGCCAGUUCAACCUCCCUACGGAGUACCAAGCAUAGUGCCACCAGCUGUUUCAUUAGCACCUGGAGUCUUGCCGGCAUUACCUACUGGAGUUCCACCUGUGCCAACACAAUACCCGAUAACACAAGUGCAGCCUCCAGCUAGCACUGGACAGAGUCCGAUGGGUGGUCCUUUUAUUCCUGCUGCUCCUGUCAAAACUGCCUUGCCUGCUGGCCCCCAGCCCCAGCCCCAGCCCCAGCCCCCACUCCCAAGUCAGCCCCAGGCACAGAAGAGACGAUUCACAGAGGAGCUACCAGAUGAACGGGAAUCUGGACUGCUUGGAUACCAGGUACAGGCUUCUCCAGUCAGAAUGAGAUUGAAGGUGCAGGAUCGAAGCCAGCAAGUUCCUCAGGCAAAGAGAGAGAGAGGGACAGGCAGUUGAUGCCUCCACCAGCCUUUCCAGUGACUGGAAUAAAAACAGAAUCCGAUGAAAGGAAUGGGUCUGGGACCUUAACAGGGAGCCAUGAUUAUCCAGCCAAGAAGAUGAAAACUACAGAGAAGGGAUUUGGCUUGGUGGCUUAUGCCGCAGAUUCAUCUGAUGAAGAGGAGGAACAUGGAGGUCAUAAAAAUGCAAGUAGUUUUCCACAGGGCUGGAGUUUGGGAUACCAAUAUCCUUCAUCACAACCACGAGCUAAACAACAGAUGCCAUUCUGGAUGGCUCCCUAGGAAACAGUGGAACAGAGUUUUGACCCUCAGUGACUCUUCUUAGCAAUAAUGCAUGCAUUUGAUUUAACAAGACUCUGGGGCCUGUGCUGGGAACCAACCUGGACUUUGCAGAAGUUUGAGAUUCAGUGCCGCCCUUUCUUAAAGGGGUUCCUUAACAACAACAACAACAAAAAUCCUUAUUUCUGCAGUGGCAUAGAAUCUGUUAAAAUUUAAUUAGAAUCACAAACUUAUCUCAGAAGCUUUUUAACAGUUCGUGAAAUGUGCUUGUCCAACAAAGCAUUCUAACAGGGUCGUUCCCAUACACAUUUGACCUGGUCCAGCCUUUUCCAAAUGAAUAGACCCAAUUCUGACAUAAAGAAAGUUUUAUUUGUAUUUUACUACUGUUUGGUCAAUUUUGAUACAUAACUGGUUACAAACAGAGCCUUACUAUUUAUUAGUGGGGAAAUUAUUUUAAGACCGUCCUUUUCAGUAUUUAAUUCUGACAGAUCUGCAUCCCUGUUUCAUUUUGGAUUCUUUCUGUUUUGGAAAAUGCUGUCUCAUUUAAAACUGUUGGAUAUAGCUGGAUCCUGGAUAGGAAAAUGAAGUUAUUUUUUCAUUGUUGUUUUUAAUUGGGGUGAUCCAGAGCUGGCACCUUCAGGCACAUUGGUCUCAUAGCCAUUACUGUUUUUAUUGCCCUUCUAAGAUCCUGUCUUCAGCUGGGUCAGAGAAAACUUCCUGACUAAAACUGGUCAGAACUCAUCACAGAAAUGAAACACAGUGGUCUGUCUCUCUCAGAACUGGUUGCAGCUAAAAUAGAGAGAUCUGACUGCUGGCUAUAGGAUUUUGGACUUAAUGACUGAAAUUGCAACUUGUCCUUUUUCUUGGCAUUACAGGUUUUGCCAAAAGAACUUUUUUUGUAUCAAAUAUUGAUGUGUGAAAGUGAAGGAGCUAGUCUGCUGAACCAGGAAUAGUUUGAGAUAUUGAACUGUCAUUUUUGCACAUUUGAAUACUUUGCAGGCUGGCUUUGUAUAAACUUAUCCUCUGGUUUCCUAUACGUUGUAAAUAUGUAGACCAUAAUUUCAUUAUAAAUAAAUGUAUAAAUAUUA